UAACUGUUCUAUCUGAAAGGACAGGGAAGAAAUCCAAAAGUAAAAGUUUUGGAUUUGUGCCGAAGUUGUCUGUGGUGCCGAAAAAGCCAAUGAGAUCUUCUUGGAUUUCCAUGCAAGUGCCUCAGGCGGUCACACUGGCCAAAAGAAAACAAGAGAUGCCAUUUCUAAACGUUUCUACUGGCCUGGAAUGACUGGAGACAUAAAUAAAUGGGUAAUGUGCUGCUUGCCAGUCUGCAGGACAUAAAAUAAAGGACACCAGUGAGCAUACUCCAAUAAAGGUUUCACAACCAUUUGAGCUUGUUGGUAUGGAUCUUAUUGGAAAACUGAAAACCACAGAAAGUGGAAAUCGGUACAUCUGCGUGAUGAUAAGACUACUACACAAAAUGGACACAGGCAUAUCCGAUUACCUGUAAAACUGCAGAAGAGGUCACUAAACAAAUUCUUAAAUUUGUAUUUCAAUUUGAAGCCCCCAAAAGAAUUUUGACAAAGGCACAGAGUUUGUCAAUUCGGUAAAAUUGUAUUUCAUCAACAUUUAUUUUAAAUAUGGCGUGCAGUUUUUGACUUAUGAAUUUGUUAUGGUUGUGACAGGUAAAUAAGAAUGUCCGCGAAAAACUGGGAAUUAAAAGGAGUCUCUGUGCACCCUACCAUCCACAGACAAACGGUUUGGUAGAAAGAAUGAAUGGCACUAUCCAAAGGUAGCUGAUACUCAUUGUUACGACCCGGCUCGUUGAGCUGAA
Molecule: long non-coding RNA, 737 nt
Organism: Poecilia reticulata (guppy)
Lineage: Eukaryota; Metazoa; Chordata; Actinopteri; Cyprinodontiformes; Poeciliidae
Source: RefSeq, a predicted model, not a curated record